CCUACGGGGGGCAGCAGUAGGGAAUCUUCCACAAUGGGCGCAAGCCUGAUGGAGCAACACCGCGUGAGUGAAGAAGGGUUUCGGCUCGUAAAGCUCUGUUGUUGGAGAAGAACGUGUGUGAGAGUAACUGUUUACGCAGUGACGGUAUCCAACCAGAAAGUCACGGCUAACUACGUGCCAGCAGCCGCGGUAAUACGUAGGAGGCAAGCGUUAACCGGAUUUAUUGGGCGUAAAGCGAGCGCAGGCGGUCGAGUAGGUCUGAUGUGAAAGCCUUCGGCUUAACCGAAGAAGUGCAUCGGAUACUGGUCGCCUUGAGUACAGAUGAGGAAAGUGGAACUCCAGGUGUAGCGGUGGAAUGCGUAGAU
This 365-nucleotide ribosomal RNA is filed under the name uncultured bacterium. RNAcentral describes it as "partial 16S ribosomal RNA". It matches the Rfam family "Bacterial small subunit ribosomal RNA", at positions 338 to 695 of the family's 1533-position model. The record is from RNAcentral.